UACGGAGGGUGCGAGCGUUGUCCGGAAUCAUUGGGCGUAAAGGGCGCGUAGGCGGCGGGACAAGCGUGCGGUGAAAGCUCGGGGCUCAACCCCGCGUCGGCCGUGCGAACUGUUUUGCUGGAGCACUGUAGAGGCAGGCGGAAUUCCGGGUGUAGCGGUGGAAUGCGUAGAGAUCCGGAAGAACACCGGUGGCGAAGGCGGCCUGCUGGGCAGUUGCUGACACUGAGGCGCGACAGCGUGGGGAGCAAACAGG
This 253-nucleotide ribosomal RNA is filed under the name uncultured bacterium. RNAcentral describes it as "partial 16S ribosomal RNA". It matches the Rfam family "Bacterial small subunit ribosomal RNA", at positions 524 to 776 of the family's 1533-position model. The record is from RNAcentral.